RNAcentral lists this microRNA precursor (150 nucleotides) under Loxodonta africana (African savanna elephant). RNAcentral describes it as "miRNA (ENSLAFG00000024839.1)". The stretch from base 47 to 98 matches the Rfam family "mir-1302 microRNA precursor family". Lineage: Eukaryota; Metazoa; Chordata; Mammalia; Proboscidea; Elephantidae. The record is from RNAcentral.
AAUACAAGAAGGUCAGUUAAAUUUGAAUUUUGGAUGAACAAUGAACUUUUAAGUAUAAGUAUGUCCCAUGCAAUAUUUGGGACAUACUUAUACUAAAAGAUUAUUCAUUGUUUAUCCAAAUUUCCGAUUCAACAGGGAGUCCUGGAUUUU